GACAGCGGAGCCAAGAUGGCGGCCGAGUUGGAGUACGAGUCUGUGCUGUGUGUGAAGCCGGACGUCAGCGUCUACCGGAUUCCGCCCCGGGCCUCCAACCGCGGUUACAGGGCAUCUGACUGGAAAUUAGACCAGCCUGAUUGGACUGGUCGCCUCCGAAUCACUUCAAAAGGGAAGACUGCCUAUAUCAAACUCGAGGAUAAAGUUUCAGGGGAGCUCUUUGCUCAGGCACCAGUAGAACAAUAUCCUGGUAUUGCUGUGGAGACAGUGACAGAUUCCAGCCGCUACUUUGUAAUCCGGAUCCAGGAUGGUACUGGGCGCAGUGCUUUCAUUGGCAUUGGCUUCACAGAUCGGGGAGAUGCCUUCGACUUUAAUGUCUCCUUGCAGGAUCACUUCAAGUGGGUAAAGCAGGAAUCUGAGAUUUCCAAGGAAUCUCAAGAAAUGGAUGCUCGUCCUAAGUUGGAUCUGGGCUUCAAGGAAGGACAAACCAUCAAGUUGAGUAUCGGGGUGAGUAUGGUUUUUAAAAAUUUUGUUUUCCUGUGCUUCCAUAAGCCUAUGACAUCUUUCUCUUGCUCUUCUUUUUUUCUUUUGUAGAACAUUACAAACAAGAAAGGAGGUGCUUCCAAGCCCAGGACUGCAAGGGGUGGGGGCCUGAGCUUACUCCCACCCCCGCCAGGAGGCAAAGUCACUAUUCCCCCACCAUCCUCCUCAGUUGCCAUCAGCAAUCAUGUCACCCCACCACCCAUUCCGAAAUCUAACCAUGGAGGCAGUGAUGCAGAUAUCCUUUUAGAUUUGGAUUCUCCUGCUCCUGUCACGACACCAGCACCAACUCCAGUUUCUGCAAGCAAUGACUUGUGGGGAGACUUCAGCACUGCAUCCAGCUCUGUUCCAAACCAGGCACCACAGCCAUCCAACUGGGUCCAGUUCUGAAUGGCAUUGGCAGGACAUUAAGGACAGACUUGAGGAAUAAAAAUGACCUUGAGGGCACCAAUCUGUGAGGGAAGUUAGGAACCCAUUUCCUCCCCAGAAUCAAAAUGACUGGACAAUCUUUUUCGUAGCUUCUCCAUCACAUUCAAGCUGGUUUAUGUCACUCCCCUGUGUUGUUACUUGUACAGCCAAGAAAGUAUCUGUUAAUCUCCUGCUUAGUACCAAGGUAGGGGACUAGUGAAUCUUAUCAUAGUUUUGGCUGACUAUGCAGGGCUCAAAAGGCCAGCGUCUGUUUGAGGGGGAAUGACCUCUGACAUCUGUAAAAUUUGUCUCAUCUUUUAAAUUCUUUAACUUAUUUCAAAAUCAUCUCAUGACCCUCGUGUGCCUCUUUGUGAAGCCCUAUUUAGCAAUUUCAGGGGAGUCAAAAACCUUGCAACUUCCUUCUCCACUAACCCAGGACUAAAAAUGGACAGGCUGACCUUAGUGUUUACAAAUUCAGAAUUUUGAUAGGGGUAGAUAUGGAGAAAGACCUAUUUCCUGGGUCUCUGCUGUGUAGUCUCCUUCAGGCUUAUUGUACACAGUGAACAUCCAGUGCUGGGUGCAGCUCCAUCACCCUCUUGUGUGUUUACAUGUCUCUUUCUAUGAUAAGAGGGUUGUGUUGGUGGCACCUCCACUACUCUUUUCUGUUUGUUGAAUUUGAAUUGUGUAACAUCUUUGACCAGUGGGUGUUUCUGUAAUGAAGGAGGUUCAAGAGGCUGUGCUUUCCAAGUGAUAGUCUAUAGGAAUGUUUGAUUUCUUGCAGCUCCAUCUGGUUGCUGCAUUUGAAGCAUGGCAUUAAUUUGUAUUUGCCCUGUUGUUUGACCUUAAGUUGAAGGGUUUAGAGUUUUUAACCUGAUCUGUAGAGCAGAGAGGUUGAAAGCACUUAACUCUUGUUUAGUAUCCUCAUUGCCUUGCUGCCUGGGUAUCUGGCCCCUUUUCAUAAACAUUUCUUUUCAGUUCAUGUAGUUCUUUAAUAGAAAGCUGCUAUUAUGUAUAUUGUCAUUUGUGAAGGAAGUUGGAGAGUCACAGAUUUACUGUGACAGGUUUUGCCCAAGUCUGUGAUACCUGUCACCCAGGGUAUCUUAAAAGCAAGUUGUUCUCCCACUACUUUCCUUUCCCUCUGCCCUGCCAUUCCUUUUACAAUGCUGUGAAAAAAGUUCUGCUUCUUAGGUGAAUGGGUACUUUCUAUUUUGUUUCUAAAUGAGCAAUUUUGAGGAUGAAAUGGGAAGAUAUCAUUUCUUCCUUUUUGCACCUAUUAGGUAUGUACACUCUCUGGCUGAAGGGAGUCCUUAUGUUUAGUUUCAAAAUAUAUUACUUUCCUGGAUUCCCUUCUUAACGUUUUCUGACUUUGGGUCCAUUUUCUUUUCAUUGCCUCCUUUUCCAGGCAGCUCUAUUCUUGCAGAGCCAUGGCAGGACAUAUUAAAAUUCCAGUAGAAAACACUAAAAGGAAAGUCUGUAGAAUCACUAGUGACUAAAUACUGGGAACCUAUUUUCUCAAUCUUCCUCCAUGUUGUGUUCUUUGUAUUCUCAAGAUGAUAAUAUAUUAUGUAUUUGAAUUCCUGAAAAAUGGAAAAUGUUUAAGAUAUAUGUAUAUAAAGCAUAUGCUGUAUUGGU
This 2580-nucleotide small RNA is filed under the name Pongo abelii (Sumatran orangutan). RNAcentral's name for it is "retained intron". The record is from RNAcentral. Lineage: Eukaryota; Metazoa; Chordata; Mammalia; Primates; Hominidae.